Molecule: ribosomal RNA, 483 nt
Filed under: uncultured bacterium
Lineage: Bacteria
Description: bacterial SSU rRNA
Rfam family: Bacterial small subunit ribosomal RNA
Source: RNAcentral
UAGCGGAACUCCUACGGGAGGCAGCAGUGGGGAAUUUUGGACAAUGGGGGCAACCCUGAUCCGGCAAUGCCGCGUGAGUGAAGAAGGCCUUCGGGUUGUAAAGCUCUUUUGUCAGGGAAGAAACGGUAGUAGCUAAUAUCUAUUACUAAUGACGGUACCUGAAGAAUAAGCGCCGGCUAACUACGUGCCAGCAGCCGCGGUAAUACGUAGGGUGCAAGCGUUAAUCGGAAUUACUUGGCGUAAAGCGUGCGCAGGCGGUUGUGUAAGUCAGAUGUGAAAUCCCCGGGCUCAACCUGGGAAUUGCAUUAGAGACUGCACGGAUAGAGUGUGUCAGAGGGGGGUAGAAUUCCACAUGUAGCAGUGAAAUGCGUAGAUAUGUGGAGGAAUACCGGUGGCGGAGGCAGCCCCCUGGGAUAGCACUGACGCUCAUGCACGAAAGCGUGGGGAGCAAACAAGAUUAGAAACCCUAGUAGUCCACUUAUG